AAAAACAAAAAUUUACUUUACUCUCCUUUUCUUAUUCACAAAGCCAAUAAUUCCGAGUCCCUGCACCUCUGCUUUCCUUUCAUUCUUCUUGCCUGAGAAAACCCACAAAUAAUCCCAUUAAAAAUCCUACUCGACCUCUUUUUUCCUUUCCUCCGUGAAAAAGCAUCCCUCCGUGAAAAAUCAAAUUUACGUCUUUUUGAUUUUUUCUGUGUGAAUUCUUAGCUAAUAUUGCUGUAUCGGUGGCCUUGAUAUGUAAUUGGUGCUUUGUAGGGUAAUUUGCAAGUUGCAAAUUUAUAUGUUGGUACCGACAGUGUAGAGCUCAAAGGCCUGAAAUAAUUGCUGAAUUGAAUUAUUUGUUAAGGCAUUGUAUCUGCAAGUUGCAAGUGUAUAUUCUUUUCUCAAAGAAGCCGUUCCUGGUGUUUUUAGAAUCCUCUGGCUACUCUCAAGAAGAUGUGCUCCUUCAGAAGGCCAAAGCUGGGGUAUGUAUAGCUUCAAAUCAUUCUUAAUCAGAAUGCUUAAAUCACCUUGAAUCAGGCUUUUCGAUCUAGAUUCGGAUGUGGGUUAAUAUCAGUUACUGAGUAGUAUAAUGCUUGCAGCUCCUGAAGCCUACUUUCACAAUUAUAUGUGAUAAAGAUUCAAAAUGCUUCCUUUGAUAAAGAUUCAAAAUACUUCCUUUUAUUGAUUCGUGGAACCCAUAGCAUCAAAGAUACACUAACAGCAGCUAGUGGUGUAGUGGUACCUUUCCUUUCUUUUAUUUUGCAUGAUGAUGGGAUAAGCAAUUUGGUUCUGGUUUUUGCAUAUUGUGGGAUGGUUGUUGCUGCUCGUUGGAUUGCUCAGCUCAACACUCCAUUCUUUCUUAAGGCUCUCGAUAACUAUCCUGACUACAAAGUUAAGGCUUCUAGGAUCAGUUAGUGUACAAAGGACAUCAAAUAUUCUUGUACAAAAAAGAACAAAUAUUUGCUACAGAUUUGUGGGGUGCAUUCCAGGGCCAGGGAUAUGGAGAAUUUAAUGACAUUAGAUCCAUUACUAUUAUGGUCGAUUAUAUUGUUCCAGCGGUUCUUCAGCAACUUGGCGUGCUGAAAUACAGUUCAAAGCUUGCCAAAUUGAUUGUGGCUAAUAAUGAAAUAGAUUCAGGCAGUGAGGAGGAAGUUAAGCUAUGGACUUGCUCCAUAUAUGCUGUGGAGAGGAUGGAGUUGAUCAAUAAAAAAUUAGGGAAGCAGGUGUUGCUGAAUUCCUUUGACAUUUCUAGCAAUUUAGUACUUGUAUAUUUCCUUUUGGUAUUUCAAUGAUUUUCACUCUUUUUGUUUAGAUCAACCUAUGUCCUUCUAUUUUUUUUCUUUUCCCUUUUUUUUUUUCCCAAUAGUAUAUAUAAUCUUUCUCUCUGUUUUCUCAGUCUCGUUAUUUUUAUUUAUUUAUUUAUUUAUCUAAUUGUUUAAAUCAUAUGACUUUUGUAUUCAAGUGCUUAGUGUGGAGUUAGACCUUUGGCUUUGGUCUUUUAUCAUUCAAUUUCCAUCUCUGCAACACCACCGAACGUUUUCAACAUGUUACUGAGCUCACCAUAUCUGAUGGUGUCCUUAAUUUAUGCUUCUAACUGUAAGAUUAUAGGAACUAGCAUAGUAAGUUUUGGGGCGAAGUCAUUAGAUAGAUGUGUCUAUAAAUUCCUCGCAUCUAUUUUUCUUUUUGCAUUGUAGCUUUUCUUAAUUUUGAGAAGUACUACUAAUAUUAGCCUUGAGUUGAUGAACCAAAAACGUAUUGUUUUAAAAAUUGAACAUUUGAUAUGUUGCUAUUACCUAUUUUGAGAUAUCUGUCACUUGUAUUUUUCUAUUCGCUAUAAAAAAUUAGUGGCUUUGUAA
This is a long non-coding RNA of Ziziphus jujuba (common jujube), 1853 nucleotides long. RefSeq lists it as uncharacterized. The record is from RefSeq and is a predicted model, not a curated record. NCBI's taxonomy places the organism in Eukaryota, Viridiplantae, Streptophyta, Magnoliopsida, Rosales, Rhamnaceae. The transcript has 2 exons.